GCAAGUCGAGCGCUCUCUUCGGAGGGAGCGGCGGACGGGUUAGUAACGCGUGGGAACAUACCCUUCUCUACGGAAUAGCCUCUGGAAACGGAGAGUAAUACCUUAUACGCCCUUUGGGGGAAAGAUUUAUCGGAGAAGGAUUAGCCCGCGUUAGAUUAGGUAGUUGGUGGGGUAAUGGCCUACCAAGCCUACGAUCUAUAGCUGGUUUUAGAGGAUGAUC
RNAcentral lists this ribosomal RNA (220 nucleotides) under uncultured bacterium. RNAcentral's name for it is "partial 16S ribosomal RNA". It matches the Rfam family "Bacterial small subunit ribosomal RNA", at positions 57 to 305 of the family's 1533-position model. The record is from RNAcentral.